GACAAUUUGGCCGAGUAGUCUAAGGCGUCGAAAUUAGGCUUUAGUCCAAAAGGGCAGGGCAUGGGUUCAAAUCCCACAAUUGUCA
This 85-nucleotide transfer RNA is filed under the name Vitis vinifera (wine grape). It matches the Rfam family "tRNA". From Rfam's summary of the family: Transfer RNA (tRNA) molecules are approximately 80 nucleotides in length. Their secondary structure includes four short double-helical elements and three loops (D, anti-codon, and T loops). The record is from Rfam by way of RNAcentral. Lineage: Eukaryota; Viridiplantae; Streptophyta; Magnoliopsida; Vitales; Vitaceae.